AUGUUGCUGUGUGACUUGGAGCUAAGGGUAUUGUUGGCAAAAAAGCUGUACAAAGUCCUUGUCUAUAACUGCCAACUUUGGUGGUGCUCCUCUGCCUCCCCAGACCUGGAGCUCCCUGAGCUCAAGGAAAGGACUGCUGCUGCUGCUGCUGCUGCUGCUGCUCCUCCUCCUCCUCCUUCACCGUCUCCCCAGAAGACUGUGAAGUCCCUGAGGACAAAGAACAGUAUUGACAGCACCUUAGUACAGAACUUUAAUCACCUCGAGCCUUGACUGAUGCAAGAGCCUCCAGGUGAACCCGCCGCUCUCAAGUCUUUCUCCACUCCACUUCAUCUUCCAUUUCAGUGAUUUUCCAAGAAGGCAGAUCUGAUCACAUCACACCCCCCUCCCACAUUCAAAUUCUAAUGGACCCCUGCAAAAUAAAAUAUGAAAUCUUGUACUCA
Molecule: long non-coding RNA, 440 nt
Filed under: Monodelphis domestica (gray short-tailed opossum)
Lineage: Eukaryota; Metazoa; Chordata; Mammalia; Didelphimorphia; Didelphidae
Description: lncRNA (ENSMODG00000044263.1)
Source: RNAcentral